AUGGUGCUGAGAAAUGUUAGGGACACAUUGCACUCAAUGGGAAAAGACAUAGAAUCAUUUCCUCUUCCAGAGAUCGACAAACAACAUGAGAUCACAAACGACCUGCCUAGGGAAAUCAUCGAGGUGGACCCUGAGGACACAUCGUUGCAUAAAAACCUAAAUACCGAGCAAAGGAUGGCCUAUGACGAAAUCCUAGCCACAGUUGACUGCCAAAGAGGAGGUAUAUUUUUUGUCGAUGGGCCGGGAGGGACAGGAAAAACUUUUCUUUACAGGGCGCUCUUGGCCACAGUACGUGGACAAGGCAAGAUUGUUGUGGCGAAAGCCACUUCCGGUCUUGCUGCUUCCAUAAUGCUUGGAGGGAGGACCGCACACUCAAGGUUCAAAAUUCCAAUUAAAAUAGAUGAUGGUGCUAUUUGUAGCUUCACAAAAUAA
Molecule: ribosomal RNA, 432 nt
Filed under: Triticum aestivum (bread wheat)
Lineage: Eukaryota; Viridiplantae; Streptophyta; Magnoliopsida; Poales; Poaceae
Description: partial small subunit ribosomal RNA
Source: RNAcentral